GGCCUCGGAUUCGCAUCAAUCCACGUGUUAGGGUGGAUUAGAGUGGAACUUGAAUUAAAUUCUACCCCAAUCCACUUCCAGCACAUGUGAAUUGAGGUGAAUCCGACA
This 108-nucleotide microRNA precursor is filed under the name Sorghum bicolor (sorghum). Its description in RNAcentral is "MIR5565 microRNA precursor family". It matches the Rfam family "MIR5565 microRNA precursor family". The record is from Rfam by way of RNAcentral. Lineage: Eukaryota; Viridiplantae; Streptophyta; Magnoliopsida; Poales; Poaceae.